Molecule: long non-coding RNA, 4565 nt
Filed under: Podarcis lilfordi (Lilford's wall lizard)
Lineage: Eukaryota; Metazoa; Chordata; Lepidosauria; Squamata; Lacertidae
Source: RNAcentral
GGUAUUACAGUUAUACAAAAAAUACAAUAUAAGAAAUAAAAGAGACAAUUAAAAUACAAUUUGAAAUCAUUUAUGAAUAUUUAAUGUGACGGAUGUGCCAUGUCCUAUCUUCAGCCACAAAUCCACAGACUUACCUGAUGAAAGUUGUGAACCACAAAGUGGUCCAUGAGCCACAGCUUGGGAACCCCUGAUUUAUACAAUACGCGUGUUGACCAGCUCAUUUUUAAUCAACUUGACAUGGCAAUAAAUUGUGCUCGGGCAACUGCCAAUAAAAUCCGUGCUUUGUUUUAGCCACAUUUGUGACAAAAUAUCCAGAUAAUCCAAUUGUAUCAUACACAAGGUUAAAAAAAACCCAUGCUGCACAGAGAGUGAUUUUGUGUGAAUUGUCCCUCAGCUGCUAUUCCCAAAACGAGCAACUAUGCUGAGGGUUAAGAAGCAGGUUUCUGGAACCUGUGUCUUUCUCAGUUACUUUUUUCAACUGAAAUGUAGAGUUAUGGAAAUGACCUGCAGAAAUAUUCUUGUUCCAGUAAUAAUAAGAAUAAUAAUAAGAAGAAGAAGAAGUAGUAGUAGAAGAAGAAGUUAUGUGAGAAGCAACAUUUUAGAGUGCUUCUGUUUUGUUUUGUUUUGUUUUGUUUUGUUUUGUUUUGUUUUGUUUUGUUUCUUAAUUGCAAGUCAAGUUUGUCUUAAAGCAAAUAGAAGCCACUGAGUUCAGAAUCAUACCCUUGGUCUCCUUCUGUUUUAUGCAUUAGGUUUUCCAAAAUAAAUAAGGCGUUAGAACUAACUGUCACCAAGCAAGUUUCCCUAAAGAGCAGAUUUUAAAGUCCUCCUAAAACAGGGGUAGGCAAAGUAAGGCCUGGGGGCCGGAUGCGGCCCAAUCGCCUUCUCAAUCCGGCCUGCGGACGGUCCGGGAAUCAGUGUGUUUUUACAUGAGUAGAAUGUGUGCUUUUAUUUAAAAUGCAUCUCUGGGUUAUUUGUGGGGCAUAGGAAUUCGUUCAUUAUUAUUUUUUUCAAAAUAUAGUCUGGCUCACCACAUGGUCUGAGGGACGGUGGAUUGGCCCAUGGCUGAAAACAGUUGCUGACCCUUCUCCUAAAACUAUGCUGGCAAUAGGUUGGAAAGCAGUAGAGUGGUACCUCGGGUUACAGAUGCUUCAAGUUAUGCGUUUUCAGGUUGCACACCUCGCCGAACCCAGAAGUACCUGAACGGGUUACUUCCGGGUUUUGGCACUCGCACAUGUGCAGAAGCGCCAAAUUGCAACCCGCACAUGCACAGGCACAGCAAUGUGGGUUGCGAACACUGCAGGUUGUGAACGUGCCUCCCACAUGGAUCACAUUCGCAACCUGAGGAUCCACUGUACAGAGGAAUUCCAAUUGCAUUUCACAGUGAGUGGUAGUUAUUUACACAAGUAUUUGCAUCUGACUAGAUUGGAGUUGAUUUGGCCAAUGCCAUGAUGAUCAAAACUGAGAUAAAUGGGGAUGUGAUGGGCAUGGUGACUUGUCAGAUAGGCAGGCAAAGUUGUGCAGUCUCAAUGCCUGAGGAGGAAAUGGUAGUGUUGGAAGGAGGGGUUUCGAUUUGUUAGCCACUGGGGAACAUUUUGGUACAAGCAAGGCCUGUACAAAGGGGAUAGUUCCACUUGAAUCAAGAAGGAAUCAGACUGUUGGCACUUACAAUAAUAAUUUUAAAAAUCUGGCAGAGUAGCUUUUAAAAUGAUUGUGGGUAGGGAAGAGGAGCUGAGGAGCAUUUUGUUCAGAGCAAAUCAUUCAGAAGAUGUUUAUGAUCAUUUGAAUGAGGCAGAGUUAGAACUAGACACGGAAAGAGGGCACUAUGGAUUUUAGUGUAUUGAUGGCUAGAAGAUGCAGUGAUGGACACCAUUUUUAAUGGCUUUAAAAGAGGAUUAGGCAGAUUCAGGGAGCGUAAGGCUACUGGCUGGGGUGGCGAUGUCCUACCUUCACUGAUGGAGGUGGUAUGCUUUUGAACGCUAGAUGCUGGGAAUUACACAGUGGGAGAGGGCUGUUGCAUUCAGGUCCCGCUCAUGGGCUUUGGAUAAACAUAUUUGGUUGGCCACAGUGAGAACAAUAUGCUGGACCUUUAAUGGGGAUCUUCUGAUGUUUUCAAUGCUAGCUUGUUUCAGUCACAUCAUGUGGCUAGCUUGUUUCAGUGACAACGGAGAAAGAGUACGAACCUCAAAUGCAAAUCAGGAAAUUGCAUACAGUGGGCAAAAUCAUCACCCAGGUGGUACAUAGAUCAGGGAUGAGGGAUGUGUGGCACUCCACAUGUUGCUGGACUCCACCUCCCAUCAACUCCAGCCAGCAUGGUCUAUGAUCCAUGAGAUUAUAGGAGUUCUACUCCAACAACACCUGGAGGGCCACAGGUCUGCCCUACCCCUGACAUAGUCCUGGAGGCCACUACUUUCUGCAGAGUUAUGUGUGCUUCAGUGUAAUUGAGAUCAUUCUGUGCCCUACUAUAUUUCCUGUUUCUUGUUAAAGAAAACCAGGCCAUAUGAAGUGACAAAGAAAGUUACUUUGAAGCAAUGGAAGGGUAUCAUCAUUAUCUCACAGCCAAAAGCUAUCUUACGGGGUUCUUGAAAGGCUGGCAUAGCACUAUGAGCUCUAUAGAGGCGGAAGAAGGUGGAACUAGAACAGUUAAGAAAAGAUUCACACAGCCAACUAUUUUACAGGGACCACGAGCAGAGGGGCAGUAGAGGGAAACACUAUUAGCAGGCUUUUCUGCCACGCUCGUCAGCGCGCCACAAUAGCUGAGUGCCUCAGAUUUAUUGGCAGUGUCCAUAGGCCCAUCCCAGGACAAUUAACUUGAUGACAUAGUGGCACAAAUGACAUAUUUGAAGUUAUUAUAAUAAGGCUACAUAGAGAGGGUCUCAAUAGGCCUGCUGACAGUACUGUGUGCUCACUUGGCAGAUUAUCUUGUAAACACCCUGCUUUUAGGGAUGCAAGCACACUUCUGCCCUCACAUCUUGGGCUGUCUUCUGCUGUUUGUUCGUCUGCGGGCCUGUUAGCUGGAGGUUCAGCUUAUUCUAUUGACCACAUUGUGCAGAAAGCUCUAAUUGCCGAUGGGAUUUUGGGAACACUCGUGUGCAGGCUCUACAGCCAACAAAGCUACUCGGUGGGGUUGUAUACCACAUAUCUGGGGACUUAGAAAGAGCCAGUCUCUCUGAUUUGGAGAGUUAGGACUGGUUUACACCUCUGUCUAUCCCAUGAUUCCUAUACAAGGGUCCAAGAAGCUUUUAUUUUGUCCCGCUGCUUUCCCUAGGAAAACCUGUUGUUUACUCCUGAACUGGAACAACUGUCAAUUGGGUUUUCUUCUCAGACCCGUCCGUCAAAAUCAUGGGAGAAACAGAAGUGUGGAUGAGUCUUUACUUUUGGUGGCUAAAAUGAUGAUUUUUAGGGAGCUGCAGUGAGGCUAAAAACAGGGUUGUAAGUUCAAGAGCUAUUGGAUCUCACAGCUAAAGAUAGGGUAGAGUAGAGUAGAGUAGAGUAGAGUAGAAGGGAAAGCUUGGGACAGUUUCAAACCUCUGGCAAAGUUUUCCAGAACUGUUUUCAGACUAAAAUGAUACAUGGGCCUCAGAACAAUUCCUUACAGGCAAGCAGUGGCAGGGCAUAAUUCUUCUCUCUGUUCUCUCACUUUCACUUUCCUUCCUUCCUUCCUUCUUCCAGACUCCACGGUCACUGAGGGCUGAUGCUAGGAGGGGGUGGAAUGGGAGUAAGUGAGUGGUAUUUGUGGAGUCAAGGGCUAAACUAGGGGAUGCAGGGUAGCAAGGGUGACUGGAUGGUAAAUUAGCCCAAGGAGAAACUGCAAACAUCCAGAUAUAGACUGAUUUUAGCCCCCAGCAUUUGUUAUAAAGGUUUUAGUGUAUAUGCCAACAGAGUGCCGAAAUGUAAUACUGAAACUAUAAUAAAGUACCCUGAAAUAACACUGUUAUGAGUUUGUUAAAGCUCUUUACACUUUAUGCAGUGGGUAAUAGCGACACUUAUUCCAUAAAACACAUUAAUUUAUAUUGUGUUAUAUAAUGCAUUUGAAAUAACAGUUUUGUGACUUGACAUUACACAAAUGUAUUCGUAGUAUUAUUUGUGGUCUAACUAAACAAUCACUUCCAAAGAAGUUACAUUAUGCAGCAGUGUUUCUGAUCUGAAAAGUACAGUAUGGGUUAAUUUAAUGUGUGUAUUUUUCUUUCUUUCACUGGACUUCCUUUUGCCAACUUUACCUUGUAUAAAUGAUUUUGCCUGUGAGAGUCUUUAUGUGGAAUGCAGAUCGACUAUUACUUCCUGAACAGAUUUAAAUUUAACACCAAUUUAGUCACUGUAGAAUUCCAGUAUUGGAAAAAACAGCUUCCAUAGGGCUUCUACAAUGUGCCAGAAAUAUGAUCUCAUACGUAGAAACAAAUUCAAAUGUGUUUUCUUUUACAUAUGUUUUCUUUUCAUAUAUUUUCCCCCACCUAUGCUUCUCUUUUAUCCCGAAGUUGCUUCCACUUUGUGCCAGAUCUCUGAGAACCUGGGAUAACUGGUCUCUUGUAUGAGGUAACUUUUAAUAAAAAUGGCCAAAAUCCAUCUUU